Molecule: ribosomal RNA, 778 nt
Filed under: uncultured Neocallimastigales
Lineage: Eukaryota; Fungi; Neocallimastigomycota; Neocallimastigomycetes; Neocallimastigales
Description: partial large subunit ribosomal RNA
Rfam family: Eukaryotic large subunit ribosomal RNA
Source: RNAcentral
UAUCUCUGUAGAGUCUGCAUAUCAAUAAGCGGAGGAAAAGAAACUAACUAAGGAUUCCCUCAGUAACGGCGAGUGAAGCGGGAAGAGCUCAAAUUUGAAAUCUUCAAGGUUCUAGCCUCGACGAAUUGUAGUUUAAAGAAGUGUUUUCUGUUGGAGUUUUGGUAAAAGUUCUUUGGAAUAGGACAUCAUAGAGGGUGAGAAUCCCGUAUUUGACCAUUACUUCCAGCGUUGUGAUACACUUUCAAAGAGUCGGAUUGUUUGGGAAUGCAGUCCAAAAUGGGUGGUAAAUUUCAUCUAAAGCUAAAUAUUGGCGAGAGACCGAUAGCGAACAAGUACCGUGAGGGAAAGAUGAAAAGAACUUUGAAAAGAGAGUUAAACAGUACGUGAAAUUGUCAAAAGGGAAGCGUUUGACACCAGUGUUGUUUUCUCGAAAAUCAAUUAAAAAAUGGCUUGAUUUUGUAUUGUUAAGACCUUAUCAGCUUACCGUACUCUUUUCUUGCUUUUUUUAAUGCACUUUUCGUUUAACAAGUCAACAUCAAUUUCUUUUGUUGUAAAAGAGUCAUUGGAAGGUGGCUUUCACUUCGGUGAAAGUGUUUAUAGCCUUUGGCUUCUGCAAUCGGAGAGACUGAGGUCUGCAGCGUAGAUCCUUCUGGAUUAGAUUCAUUUGUGCUAAGUUACAACCGUUUAUAGACAACUUGUUGACUAUAUUCGAUCCUGUUAGCUUACUCGCUUAUGUAAUUUUACCUACGCUUAGGAUGUUGAAGAUGUAGCACAUCAU